UUUAGCAAGCACCUACUAAACUAGAUACUCCCGAACUCUAAGUGAGCUGAAUAUAAUUUGUUAAGAACCCAUUUUUAUUUAUCUCAUCACGUAAAAUAAAAUUAUUUUCAGAGGCUACAUACCUACCGCAUUAGAAUAUAGCUGGUAAUUUAAUAAAUCCUCUUUAGAGGAUAAAGCUAAUAGCUAUUAUAGAUAAGUUAGGAUAAUCUAACUUAUACAGUGUUAACUAUAAAUUAAUCUCCCAUGAAGUAGGCCUAAAACCAGCCAUCUUAUAUCCCGUUCCAGGAAUCAUUCUAUUAUUUUACCUACGUUACACUAUAAUAUUAAAUUAAUCUCUACAACUUCACAGAGUUUAAAUUCUGCUAAAAUUAGUAUCUUACUAUCAGCCUAUAAGGAACUCGGCAAACACUAGAUUCGACUGUUUAACAAAAACAUAGCCUCCUGACCCAAUAUAGGAGGUUCAUCCUGCUCUAUGAUAUUUAUUAAAUGGCCGCGGUAUCCUGACCGUGCAAAGGUAGCAUAAUCAUUUGCCUCCUAAUUAGAGGCUGGAAUGAAUGGACACACGAAAUCUAAGCUGUCUCAUAGGUUAUAAUAAAAAUUUAUCUCCAAGUGAAGAAACUUGGAUAAAUUUGAAAGACAAGAAGACCCUAAUGAGCUUUAAUUCUCUCCUGUUUCUCUCUAAAAUUUUAAUUAUUAACUAAACAUUAUAGAAUUUUUGUUGGGGCGACAAAAGAAAUCAAGUUACUUCUUUAUAUAAAAUAAGAGAAAUUCCUCUAAAUAUUUGACCUAAUUUUAAUUAAUCAAUAGCACUAGCUACCAUAGGGAUAACAGACUAAUUUUUCUCCAGAGCUCAAAUUUACAGAAAAGAUUGGCACCUCGAUGUUGGCUUAGAGGCCCCUUAUGAUGCAGCAGUCAUAAAAGGUGGGUUUGUUCAACCCUUAAAACUCUACAUGAGCUGAGUUCAGACCGGCGUAAGCCAGGUUAGUUUCUAUCUUCAAAUUUUAAACUACUUCUUUAUAGUACGAAAGGACCUUAAGAA
This 1039-nucleotide ribosomal RNA is filed under the name Osedax rubiplumus. RNAcentral describes it as "16S ribosomal RNA". It matches the Rfam family "Bacterial large subunit ribosomal RNA", at positions 1390 to 2700 of the family's 2925-position model. The record is from RNAcentral. Lineage: Eukaryota; Metazoa; Annelida; Polychaeta; Sabellida; Siboglinidae.